RNAcentral lists this ribosomal RNA (257 nucleotides) under uncultured prokaryote. RNAcentral's name for it is "partial 16S ribosomal RNA". It matches the Rfam family "Bacterial small subunit ribosomal RNA", at positions 524 to 780 of the family's 1533-position model. The record is from RNAcentral.
UACGUAGGGCGCGAGCGUUGUCCGGAAUUAUUGGGCGUAAAGAGCUCGUAGGCGGCUUGUCACGUCUGCUGUGAAAACGCGGGGCUUAACUCCGCGCUUGCAGUGGGUACGGGCAGGCUUGAGUAUAGUAGGGGAGACUGGAAUUCCUGGUGUAGCGGUGGAAUGCGCAGAUAUCAGGAGGAACACCGAUGGCGAAGGCAGGUCUCUGGGCUAUAACUGACGCUGAGGAGCGAAAGCAUGGGGAGCGAACAGGAUUA